ACCAAGCAAAAUGGAUUGGCGCUGCUAGGCUCGCGUCCCCCACGGCUUUGAAGGGGCCGUCGAGCUUUGGGGAAUCCCUCCGCGCGCCAUGGCCUCCGCCUGGGAAGAAUUCUCCGAACCCGGUAUUCCCCUCCUCUCCUCUGUCGGUUUCUCUUUUUGUUUCGUUUAAUCGCUCGAGAAAACGGGUCCAGAAUUGCGAGAAACGUCUUCUGUCGUCUUUCCAUUAUUACUUCGUGCUCUGGACGGAAGUUUAUGGAGGCUUUCUGCCCUAGAUCGCUUCUCUUGCUUUUUAGUGAACGGCGUGGUUAAUCGAGAUCAAGCGCCGGUGGAUAGGAUAGGGCAUGAUUCUACAUUGAGAUUGCUCAAGCUUAGGGUUGUUAGUAAAAUACGAUGAUGAUGAGGACGUCCAAGGAAUCGUUCCACAUCGCUAGAGAGCCGGACGAUAUAUAUUAGGUCUGUGGCUUAGACUUUCGUUGAGACAUUCUCUCAAACACUUCCCUUUCUUCCACUUCCAAAGAUUAUUAGAUACCGUUCUUUCUUAGAAGUUAAUCAUAUCUUAGUGGUUAUGAAUAACUGAUGCUAUUUGUUUUCAGCAUGCAUUAAUCUGCGGCUAAUUGUUAUCAGAUUUAGAUACCAGUCACGAAAAAUCGACAAGAAUUUCUGCAAGUAUGGUGCUGUGACCGGAACAUUAGUUUUGUUGUGACCAUGUCACAACUUGAGCACAUACUUGUGGAAAUAUAAAGAUAGUUAACUAAGGUCCUUACACUUUGUUGGAUCCAAGAUUUUUGGAGUCUACUCGAUUCAUUAAACACAGGCUUGGAUAGAAAAAUAGGCGCCUAAUUCUCGGGUAGCUUAGGUACUUAGCCGGGUUAGUAUACUAUAAAAUUUAUAGGCACCUAUCCCUUUGUCAUUUUAUUGUUGAACAACAACAACAACAGCAAUGGGUUGUGUUCUUUUUCUCUACUAAACCAUUUAAAUCAGAUUCAAGUGCUUUAAGUAGGAUUUGGGAUGAGUUCGGGCUUGAGUGAAAUCUGUGAGUUCUGAACCAUUAGCCAGGUUUAGCCAUUUUGUCCAGAUUUAUUACGACUUCUUGGAAAUAAAGUGCAUUGUUGACAUUUGACUCCUUGGUGGCAGUUCUUUACUUUUCUUGAUCUUUUAUGACUGUAGAGGUUGAAGUAGGAAAGAUGCUGUCUAUGAUGGGCAGGUCAUGGCUCAAACUUCAAACAUGUUUACCACAACAGUCUUGGAAUAGAAUAGCAAAAGAAUCAAAUGAAGUCUUCCUAACUGUCAAAUUUUAUAUUGGCACUCUGAGCAGAUUCUCUUUGGGAAAGAACCCACUGAAACCCGGUUUUAUAGAUGAAGAUGGUGGCACAGCAAGUUAAGUUAGGUUACCCCUGCAAUGGUCCACCUUCCCUUCAAGAUCUUUCAGGAGGAUUGUGCAUGCAAGGGUGUAGCACUCCAUGAGACCUGAUGGCCUUCGAAAGAACUUCCACGUCUAGCAUCAUGAACUCAUUCAAUUCCAUUGAAUGAGGAAUCAUGAUUGUUUGUGUAUUUAUUUUUCCAUGGUCUGUUUCUACACUCAUCUCUGUUUCUGUUGAGUAAUGUCUCACACAUAGUUCCUGCAUUAAAAGGGGAGAACAAGGAGGACCACAUUGAAUGGGAAGACUGAGUGGGAAUGAUAUUUGCUUGGGCUUGGGAGCUUUGGUACACAAGCAAACAUGAGUGGAGACCCUUUGGGUUUUUCUUUUUCACCUACGUUGCACUUUAUGCAAUCAUAGGUUUUUCAUGAGCCUCCAAUAUUAUAUAGACCCAAAACACCAUGGAAGGGACCUUUUUGAUGGAACCAAUGGAUUAGCCAUGAUUUUGUCUCCAUCUCAAAGUUGGAAGGUCCAUGAUGAUACCCUUCAAAACCAUUUAUUUAUAAGAGGACAACUUGAGCCCGCACUACUGUAAGCACAACAAGUGUCACCAUGAUCUAAUGAAGUCUACCUGUAAUUCACAUAGCACUUUCUUCUUGUUAAGAGCUACUAGAAAAGGGAUUGGUGGGAGUGAAGUAGGCCUGAAGUUAGGUUAUGCUUUGGCCAGUGGGACAGAGAUGUCCUGCUGAAGGUCUCGAGAUACAUGUCUACAAGGCUAGAUUAGGGUUUGGGCCUCCUUUAAUAAGGGCAUUUUAUUCCAUAGGGUGAGCUGAAGGCUAAGGGUUAAGACCUAGAGUAGUUGCCAAGUUUUUGGAAGGCCACAAAUGAGAGGCAUGACACAGUUUUUGACAAGCUAGUUAUUCUUAUCUGUUUGGAUAACAAGUGCUUUCAAAGUCCAAACAGGUGAGGCAUAUGGUCUAGACCAUAGGCUUAGUCUAGAUGGUACAUCUAAAAGCAUUAGGACACCAGAGAUUUAUACACAACAAGAGGAAGAAGUUGGCUCAGGCAUUGCUGCUACAAACCCUAGAAGUGUCAUACUUUGUAAGUUACUUUAUGGUAGAGUAGAACAUCAUUUUUAACUUAGAGAAGACAAUGGAAUUGUGCUGUUAAACGUGUGCUGAUGCAGAGAGAUGCAGGCUCUGCUACCUCUGCUGUUAAACCCCAGAGGUAGCAGAGCCUGCAUUUAUAAUCUUAAUGCUUGCGCAUCUCUAUGCAUGAUCAUCUCUAUCAUAUAAUGGUAAUGAAAUGGCAGAGUCCAUGUUAAUCUUUGAUAGAAAACCAUGAUAAGAGAGAGAGAGAGUUGAAGAGCUAGUGUUUGAUAAGGAGCAUAGUCCACCUUGAAAGGGUAAAAAGCCCUUGCAAGAUUCUCCUCGAGUGCUUGUGUCGAUGAUACCUCGUGAUGAAUCUCAUCAAAUGGUGUCUACUUUAGGACUAGAAUGGACUUGGUGCUAUGAUAAGAUGGCAUUUAAUUCCCCAUUAAUUAGAGCACAACCAAUCGACCAUCAAAAUGGGGAUAACCUUGAGGAGUUCAUGCAAGCAGAUUACCGAAGAUAGCACUCGACACAAGUUUACGGGAGAAGCUUCAACGGAGAGCAUCGCCAUGAUGAAGACGACUCUUUUCCUGCCAUGUCGAUCUCCUCUCACCGUAAACCAAUCCCAAGGCAAUAAAUGCGACAGAAUUAAGUGCUAACCCAGUCGUAAUGGUGCAUGUGACGUGCUGCCUCCUCAAGAUCUUAAUGACCAUAAUCCAGCUUACAAACACAUCAACCAAGGAACAUAUUCUAAGCCUUUAUCUUCCAUGAUCUGGUACAUAUAUGCAUGGAUAGGUUUGACUUAUUAUGAGUGCAUAUCGACAUUGAGGCAUAUGGACGUACGGUGGUUGUUGGAGGAGGGUGAUGGCAUGCAGACCCAUGCAAAUUAUAAGGUGGCUGGGAAUAUUAUCUCAGGAGAUGUACUGACACGCUGCAUGUGAGUGCACACGUCUCCUUUCUCGGGGAUCCUAUGCCUUGAGAUACUCUCCUCAGGUCGAUCGGCUCCUGGGUCACGAUUCCAGAUCUCCUGUGGUUAUAGAGUUCUGGUUUCCCAUUUGUGUGGUAUGAACUGGGGGAGUUGUGAGUUCAGUCAGAUUGGCCGUCGGGUAGAACUGAAAUCAAUGACCCUUCUGAUCAUCACUUCUAAAAUCAUCCUCAUAUCUUGAUUAAUUGAUAAACAUGUAUAUAUUUUUCUGAUGUAGGAGGAGUUUUUUUCCUCUUAAUUUUUAAUCGAUGUCAUUCCAUCUAAGACAUGUUUUGAUUUAUGCCUUUCACACUCUCUCACGAUGGUAGAUGACUCAACCCGUCACAUAAUAUAUAUUUUUUAUUUAUAUAUAAAGUCCAAUUCUUUUUUUCUUCUUAUUACUGUAUGGAUUCACCAAUUAUGGAAAAUACAGUUAAUUUUUCUCCGGGGUGAUAGGUAAAAUUGACACCGUCAUCCUUCUUCACAUGUUUCAUCGAAGACACAGCGAGGUGCACUGCACUGCAGCUUCCUCCUAUUUCUACGGUGAAUAACUCCAAUAGCCGCAUUUGUCACACAGGCAGAAUGACACACGAGAUCCGGCCACAAAGCCUGUUCCGUUCUCUCCCUUCAUACAUAUAUUAUUGGCCUGCAGUCCUCUCCCUGACCUAUUCUUUUAAUGAGACAAAAUCUUGGAGAGACCGAGAGAAAGAGGGGCGAUGUUAUCCACUUCAAUCCUUCAUGUCUUCCUUCUUCAUGUGCACCGCAGACCGGCGGCAGGCGAACCCGGCGCUUUUAGAUUGCCGGGGACGACGACAGCCACGUGGCUGCAUCCGCUUGCUUUACGGGUACUACAACGUGCUUUAGAACUCGGCUCGGCUCGGCUCGGCUAAGCUGCAGCUCAAUGAACCCUCAAACAGGUAUUUGUGGACCUAUCAUCUCCUGAUUAUAAAAUCCAGUUAAUUGGAUCUUAAAAAUCGAAUAACACUUUCGAUUGGUUUGGUUCGCUAAUUAGAUCAUCUAAAUCUUAAAUCGAUUAAAAUACCAUCAACCUUUUUAUUUAUCAUCAAAGAUAUUUGAAUAUUUUAAAGAAUAUUCAUGUGUUCUUAUUAUAUUUAUUAUUUUCUCAUUGUCUAGAUGAUAUUCGACUAUGAUGAUUAUUAUGCUAUGCACACUACUCCUUAACCAGUGUGAUAUUUUUCUUAGAAGAAUUUGAAUGCUACCCUAUUACAUGCAAGUUUUUUCUUCAUUGUCGUGCCUAUAAUUUGUGAAAAGAAAUGUAUUGGAAUGAGUAGGGUGGAUGGUAAGCUGAGUCCUGAACAGAGGGUUAGGGUUGAGGAGGGACAUCCCAAAGGCCAUUGGGAUUUUGUUCCUAGGGGAGUGAACCGGGUGCCAUCAAUGGCAGGAGAGCACAGUGUAGUAGGAUCGGACAGGUACCCACCGAAACAAGAGGAAGAACAAGGUGGUACAGGGCAACAAUAAAUCAUAGUCCCCAAUCCCCAUCCCCACCCUACGAGUAGCACAGCACUUCCUCACUCCAAUGUCUAUUGGUACUUCUCAUAUGGACAAGCCUGCCUUUGUUUUGUUUUCUUUUCUUGAAACAUUGCAAGUUUUAUGCCGAGCAAUGCCUCUUCCUGCCUUGGGAUGUUGUGUUUGACCAGUUUAAGAUUCAUAGGUUGCGUUCUGACUUUU
RNAcentral lists this long non-coding RNA (5102 nucleotides) under Musa acuminata (dwarf banana). Its description in RNAcentral is "long non-coding RNA (MACU_LNC000973)". Lineage: Eukaryota; Viridiplantae; Streptophyta; Magnoliopsida; Zingiberales; Musaceae. The record is from RNAcentral.